Molecule: small RNA, 6830 nt
Filed under: Rattus norvegicus (Norway rat)
Lineage: Eukaryota; Metazoa; Chordata; Mammalia; Rodentia; Muridae
Description: uncharacterized LOC102547955
Source: RNAcentral
AAUGGAGGAAGCCAGCAGCCAAUGAGCAGCGCCUCCAGGGGCGGGAGCAGAGAGACAAGGAAAUGCUGUCACCGCCGUUAACAAGCACGUGGAGGUUUGUUAAAGGUAGUGGGAGGCAUAAUUCUUAGUCAAUGAGAGACAGCAGUAGCCAAUCCAGAAUACCAGGGACAGGUGCGGUGCCGGCAAACUGACUUCAGGCUGUGGAUGUACGGCUGAGAGAGAAGUAGGAAACCCUGACAGUGCUCAUGCUGGCUUUGAUCCGGCUGGAGCAGCCUGUGGUGGAAAUGGCUCUAUAUAGCCUUGGUGUCUACCAGCAUCUGGAGUGGGAGCCACAAGAGCCAUGUAGACAGGCACCUAGCACUGUGCCAGCAACGUGGGGCUGACUGGCUCUGGGGAAGAGCUGUUGGCAGUGCUGGCGACAAGGAUAGAGUGUGAGGCCUGGUGACAGGAUGGCAGCGCAGAAGCCUCAGCGCUCAGGAGCUGCGGUCCUGGCUGCUCUGAGGGCUCUGCCACUGUAACUGUCACCAACAAUAGGACAAACAGAACUCUUGAACUGCUUUGGCACAGCGCACACCCUUCUGUGAGCACGCUCAUGGGAAUGUCACAUAAACUCAAGGACAUUUUGUGAAACAACUGCCUGUGGCCUUCGAAAGCAGCAAGGCCAUGACUGUCAAGGUAAAAAGUGCCGAUCCUCGAAGCCCUGGGUUAAACUCCAGCUUCAUGGUGGUGGGGGUGUGAGGAACUAUUCCUGAAAGAGAGAUUGACCAGAGACGUGUGACUACUGUACAUGAGGUGGACAGAGCCCAUGGGCAGUGCUGGAAUUACUAAGCAAAGCAUGCAGGAAACCUGAGUGGUGCCUCCCCAUUGGACACCAGCAUUUCACUAGUGAGUUUCAGGCUUGAUGGAUGCGAUGUGUACAGGGACUGUGCUUGUGUGGGAGAAUUAAAGCACUUGGAAGUGGGAGGACGACCAUGGUGGCAGUUUAUGCUUAAAUGAUCCAGGAAAAAAAAAUCCUUUGUAAAACUGUGAUUUUAAUUGGGGAUAUUUUUAAUUCCUGGUUACUGAAGACUGCUUUUAGUUAAGUGACAACAUAUAAACCUGCCAUCCCUCAAUACAUACAGAGGCCUCAUAUCUUCCCCAAUCUGUAGCAUGUUGCCAUGUACUCAUUCUUUCUGAGGUAGUAAACAGGCUCACUAACCGGGGGGCGGGGGGGGGGGCGGGAGGAGAGGACCUGUCCGUUUCUGUCUUCCCUUUUGCUAAGCUCUGACAGCCUGAGUCAGGUGGGGGGUCGCUCUCCUUGGGUGGGUGCUGGGUGCUAGGCACUGCUUGAUUUUUAUUACCAUGCUGUGUGGAUGUGUUGUCUACAUGUCUGUUAUCACAUGUGUGCAGAUGGAGACCACAAGAGGACGCUGAGUCCUCUGGGAGUGGAGUUACAGCUGGUUGACAACCAACAUGAGGAGUCUAGACUGAAGGGGAAAACGCAUACUCACAUGCCCACGUGCACACACAAUGAAUGAAGCACAAGAAACCAUCUCUCAGGGAGAAGCAGAGGUGGAGAGAAGCAAGGAUAGAGCUCACUUGUAAUCCCAGCACUGAGGCUGCAGCAGGAGGAUUCCAAGUUUGAAGCCAGCUUUGGCUGUGCAGUGAGGUAAAGGCCUACCUGGGACACAGGGAGACCCUGUCUCAAAAAAGGAAAAAGGUCUGGCUGCACCUGUUAUUUUUCUUGUCAUUAGCAGUGGCCAGCAUUUUUUUCCUCCUGAACUUUCUUACUUUACACCAAAUUCUAUGGUUCUGGCUCAAAUUCUCACUCUUGCCGUUAUAUGUAAUCUUACAAUAAAAAUACUUUAUUAUGAAAGUAUACAUAUCUAGCCUGUUAUGGCCCCAGAGCUACUCCAUAAGGAAAGAAAAAACAGACCAGUUUUCCCUGUUCCAUCUGCUUUCUACAGAGGGAACUAUGUCUACUUGGCCUAAGACCUGAAGAGAUCUCAGGGCAGAAGCCAUUUCCUGCCACCCCAAAUGAUGGUGACUCCAGCUUCCCAUCAGAUCUGCUGCUGAUCUGCCUCUGUUUCAAAAGCAAGCCAAAGGGGUCCCUGAAAGAUAAAGGGUAAAGAGAAACAGACAGGCUGGCCAGGAAGCAACACAGUGCCUUCAGUGGUCACCAGGCUCCAAGCCCGUGAAAUGCUGCAGAGCAAGGGAGAUCCUGCAGAGGCUGCCAACUGUGAAACCAGAGGACAGACGGCUCUUGCAAAGUGGACACGUAGAUUCUAGGACAUCACAGACACAGAUCUCUGCAGAAUCACUGUAGCCAUGAAGGGACAGCUGCAAAUAAAAGUAUGCAGUUGCAAAAACCAGUCCUGUAGGCACAGCCAGUUGCUUUUAAAGGUUCUAGAUGGAGUCAUCGGCAAAAAGCAGGCACCAUGCAUUUUGUUUCAACUGACACUGAAAUGCUCAUAGUAUUUUUGUGAACAAGAAAGAGGAAAUGAAGGCUGGGUGAUCAUCUUACUUGGGGCUAAGGGUGGUGGGUAUAAGCCAAGGUACCUCCAAGUCAGCCUGGGCUCAGGACCAGGGACCACAGGCAUCCUGGGUCUUUUUACUGACAUGUUUUCCUUCUGGUAAUUGUCAUCUUAUUUUAAUUAUUUACUUACUGAGUAUCACAUUAGUCUAGCCUCUGACUGCUGGAAUUUAAAGCAUGCAUGUUUAGUUAACAAAAACUAUUUAAGAAAAACUAAAAAAUUCAAUUAUAGGUAAGAAAAAUAACGUUCCUCAUAUAGUAUUCCCCACACUGGGCUAUAUUUGGAGACUUGGGCCCACUCUUAGGGGUAUUUCCAGUGAGAGACUUUCAAGCUUCUGACCAUGGUACUUACUCUGUAAGUCCAAAGAACAAAACCAUGCCACCUGUGUGGAUGUUCAAGAAGCCAGGUUUCUGUUUAACUCAAAGAUACCUUUGCAUGCCUCUGGAGGUGAUGUUUCCCUUUCUCUAAAAUUGUUUAACCAGAGACAAGGUGUAUAUUCUGUUGGAGUUGGGACAGAGAAGUGGGGUAAAAAGUUGGACUAAACUUUCUUUCAAAUGUUAUCCUUCUGAGAUGCAAGGGAGAUCAGGUGAGAGGGACCCUGCCUAGCAUGUACAAGGGCCUUGGUUACAUACCUAGCACGUAAAACAGAACAAACAAACUAAGCAUUUUCAGACCAUGUUGUGCUGAUAAAAGCAUAGGACAAGUUAGCUGCUGGCAGGGCCAGGAAGGCAGGCAGUCGGUCUCCUAGGAGGCUCUCAAGAUUCGUUUACUUAACAAAGCUUGGUGAAUGAUGAUGCCCUUCCUGCAUUAUGAAACACAGAGGCAUGCAGUGGAGCAGAGUAAAAGGAAGUGUAGCAAAGACAGACCAGGACUUCCUCACCGGCUUCCUAAUCACCUCUCUCCCUCUGUAGCCCUGGAUCAAUCAGUUUGGAAACCUGGUUGGGCUCAGAGUUCUCAACCUGUGGGUCAUGACCCCUCUGAAGGGGUGUCAAUUGGCCCUUUCAUAGGAGCCUCACACCAGAUAUUCUGCAUAUCAGAUAUGUGCAUUAUAAUCCAUAAUAGCAAAAUUACAGUUAUGAAGUGGCAACAAAAUAAUUUUAUGGUUAGCAAUCCCCACACUUAGGAACCAUGUCAACUGGUCACAGAACUAGGAAGGUUGAGAGCCACUGGGUCAGAGGGGAACUGCUCUCCCGCUGAGGCUGCGGGCUGCUGCUCCCGGCUGCAUGCCUCAUCUUAGUUGCAUUUUCCUCCCCAGCUGGCUCUCAAAAUACUUCUUUAGUCUAAAACCACUAUGGGUGUCUCCUACUGUCACUGAGAGCUUUGUGUGGUCCCUGGGCAAUCAAAUGGGAGAAACAUUUCCCUGCCACUGCAGAAUUGUAUUCUGGAAAGAGAAAGAGAAGGAAAGAGAGAAGUACUUCUGGUUGGUGUGUAAGUGGAUGUGGUUAAGGAGAGACACACCCGCAGAUUCUCCGAGCAGCCUCUCUUCGUCUGGAACCCUGUGUUUAGAAUUUGUAAUGUGGGGGUUGGGGAUUUAGCUCAGUGGUAGAGCGCUUGCCUAGCAAAUGCAAGGCCCUGGGUUCGGUCCCCAGCUCUGAAAAAAAGAAAAAGAAAAAGGAAAAAAAAAAAAAAAAAAGAAUUUGUAAUGUGGAUGCAAGUCAUGCUUGACCCUUCCUCCACACCACUGAAAGCACCGAGUGGAACAGAAAGCCGCAGAGGGGCUCACAUGUAAUUCUGCAAUUGCUUCACACCACUUCCACUACACUACACAGUUUUCUUUCUGUGUGAGGGCCGGACCCAGGGUCUCACAUAUGUACGGCAAAUGCUAUAUAUAUAUGUGAACUAUUUCCAGCUCAUCCAACAUUUUUUAAUAAUCCCACGGUAUGUGGUCGCUGAAACCUACAAUUUAGCAAUAUAGGUAAUAAGAAUUACUGUAUAUUUCUCCUUUUUUACAUUUAUUUAUUUUGUGUGUGUUUGAACACAUAUGAAAGUUACAGAACAAUUUGGAACCAGUUCUUUCCACCACGUGGGUUCUCCAGGUACUGAACCCUGGUUAUCAAGUUCGGCAGCAAUCACCUUAUCCUCCACUGAACCAUAUCUCACACCCUUACCAAAUAUUCUUGAAAGAAAAAGCAUGCACGUCUCUCAGCUGUAGAAUCUGGAUCUUAUUAUUAAUUCAUUUCCGCUAACACUCCCUAAGUCUCCAGGCUGAAGGCUGGCAGUCAUCUUUGAUACAAGCAAAAUGACCAGCACAUCUCGGCCCCAAGAAGUCCUGAGGGGCUGAAUAAGGUGGCAAGGAGGAAGGAGUAUCAGGUAACUGAGGGACUCGACAGAACCCAAAGCUGACAGAAAAGCACCUAAUUCCCAGACUCCUCAUAGCAUCUGCCUCCCUCAUAUCCCUCUAGUACAGCCUUCGCCCCCUGCUGUCCUCUCCAAACCUCCCUCCACUCUGCGGGCUGCUUCUACCAGGUCACCAGACCUCGCUCAUGGCUGCCCCCCUGCCAAUUCACUCCAUCACUAAAAUACUGACAUUCUUCAACAAGUGUCCCUUCUCACCCAAGAUCUCUUUCCUUAGGGGACUGUGUCUGUUCACAUGGCUUCAGACAGCUUCCACGGGUUCAUUCCCAGGUCUGUGUUCAGCCCAGCCCUCAGUGGCCCUUCCCUGGGUCGGCCAGACACUCCCAACCCAGAGCACUCCCUCCUGACCGGUUUGUUCUUCCCUCCCAGCCUCCAUGGCCCUCCCUUUGGAUCCCAGGAGCUUAUCUCUGCUGCCCUUCCCUUGCUUACGGCUCUUCUGUCCUUUCUAGCUGAUGCUUGGACCUUUAGGCCAGUUUUCAUUUUCCUCCCUAGCAAAAUUUAUUGACAGCCAUUUUGUAACAGGUAUAUCAUGUCUUUGGGAUCCUUUCUGGACUGAGAUGAAGUCAGGACUUUGCUAGCAUCCAGCACCCAUUACAGUGAGAGCAGGCCUAAGGUAUGGAUGGGGUAAGGACCUGCUCUUCUGAGUAAGCUGUGCUGGUCUUCACUGAACUGCUGAUACCAGCUCUGGUUCCUGGUACAGUUCUGGGAGAGGAGGAAGAAUAGUCUUUGGAAUGUGUGGUUGUAAUGUCAGCAGGACCCUGAGCAUUACCCUCCUGGUGGACAGUUGGGGCCUCGUCAUUCUUGGUACCAGUUUCUCUCCUUUCUGUUCGCUAAUCCAUGGCAUGGUCCUUGCUUAAAUGACCUCUCAGCUCAGGCAGAACUCCCACCCUCAGCCUCCAGGGCAGCUUUCAACCUCUGGCCCACUCUAUCCAGUCAGGUCACUUUGGGAAGACUAAACUCGGAGCCCUACCCAGCCUCUCCCCUGACUACACCUCCCCCUUAGUUUGCGGAAGCUCCACUGAUAAGCUGAGAGGAACCAAGCACCCAGCCUCCUCCCUCCUUGUCUGCCAUUCUCUCUCCUGAGCCUGAAGCCAGCACUGUCCCUUUGGCCAUUUAGAAUCCCUAAAGGUUGUUUCUCACUUACUCUCCAGAAGCAGAUGACCUUGUUGGGUGCCAGUGCGCACUCCUGUGGCACCCUUGGCAAAGCUGGCCUCACCAUAGAGUAGGGAGCUUAGGUGGCUCUAUGCUGGAGGGGUGGGUGGGCUUUCUCUGGCCGACAUUAACAGGAAGGACCCUGAGCCCUGGUUAUCAGGCUGUCCUAGGAUGGACUGGCUCAAAGUCCACACUUGGACCCUAGGCUACUGGGCCGUUAUUUUUUUUUUUUUAAAUCCUUCCCAGCUAUGGCUUCCUUAGCCCUCCACUAUGGUAUUUCCCUAGUAGGAAUUUCGCUCUGCACAAACAGUCCUUCUGGUGGCUAUUUUGGUCAGUCUGGCUGGGCCAGAAGCCAGUAAAGCAGUUCCUAAGGCCAGGUUUUCCCAGUUGCCUAGCCUGGAAGAAUUCAGAGCUGGUGAGGGAAAAGCAAGCCACGGCUGGUUUUAAAGAACAAAACUGGACCUCCAGGGAAACUGGUGAAUGAAUCAGCCUGGAUGGAGGGUGGAGGGAGCAAGCUGGGCUGGGCUGUCCGGAAAACUGAACACCCAGCAAUCUCACACAGGAAGAUGACGUUCACGCCUUUCAUUGCAGAACUCUGAGCAGAGGCUACUAAUGCCACAGGCCAAAAGGAGAGAACAGAUCUCUCCAUCCCAACCCUGACCCCACCACUCAGCCAUGACCCUGGGAUGUACAUAGGACUUUAUCAAGAAGUUACCCUUCCAGGGGUUGGGGAUUUAGCUAAGUGGUAGAGCGCUUGCCUAGCAAAUGCAAGGCCCUGGGUUCGGUCCCCAGCUCCGAAAAAAAGAAAAA